CUAGCUAACCACUUAAACUCAAACUCAACUCAAUCUAGGGUUCAACAACCCUCUACACUAUAUCUAGGGCCCUUUUUGACUUAGUGUUCCUCCUCUAUCCUCGGCAAUAUCCUAUCUCCCAACCACAAAGGCCAGAAGAAGGAACUUUCAACCGAACGCGGUCCACAGUACGUUCGGGUCACCGCGCGACAGACCCAGUACGUUCUGGCCACUGCCGGUUGUCACACGACGAUUGCGGCCCACAGUACGUUCGGGUCACUACCGGUCACUACCCCGUCGUGCAACCACUCAGCCAUAGGCCAUGAACCCGUCUCUCUUAGUGUUCUCGAUCCAGCGAAUAAGGGGUUUCCUUAAACCCGCUGGGUACGAGGUCGAGGAAACACUAAUCCACCUCAAACAUGCCUAGCAUUGUGGGUUACACAAAUGCUAUAUGGCCAAUACAUGACUAAUACUAAACCCGGUAAAAUAACACAAGGUUUCAAGUAGUAAUCACAACCCAAUCAAACACAUUCCAGAAUCUAGCAUAAAGACUAAUUCCAUAAUACCUAACUAUCCACAACUUGGAGAUAUCAUCUAAGCAUUCAGCAUUUGCUAACUAACCAAUCAACCUAACCAUUACCAUGCUACUACGGUUCUCAAGAAAUAACUAAGCAUGCUAUCAACUCAAUCAACCAAACCUCAACUAUUAACUAAUCAAAUUGUUACUCAGUUAGACCUAGAACCAAAAUUAUGUGAAUUUAUUUUUACAUCUUGAACAACAAAAGUUUCGCUCAAAAGUGACAUUAGGACAUUGUCCUCAGCCUCAUCGUCAAUGUUAUUUUCAUGUAUAUUUUAUUUAAUAAGAUAAUCAUCUUUGAAAACUGAAUUAUCAUUUUAUGUAUUCAGAAUAACUUACAAUAUGUUGAACUAAUUUAUUUAUGAUCUUUGAAAC
This 931-nucleotide long non-coding RNA is filed under the name Brassica napus (rape). RNAcentral's name for it is "long non-coding RNA (BNAP_LNC026373)". Lineage: Eukaryota; Viridiplantae; Streptophyta; Magnoliopsida; Brassicales; Brassicaceae. The record is from RNAcentral.